CGGUGAAGCCCAGCUUGCUGGGUGGAUCAGUGGCGAACGGGUGAGUAACACGUGAGCAAUCUGCCCCUGACUCUGGGAUAAGCGCUGGAAACGGCGUCUAAUACUGGAUACGAACCGUGGAGGCAUCUUCAACGGUUGGAAAGAUUUUUUGGUCAGGGAUGAGCUCGCGGCCUAUCAGCUUGUUGGUGAGGUAAUGGCUCACCAAGGCGUCGACGGGUAGCCGGCCUGAGAGGGUGACCGGCCACACUGGGACUGAGACACGGCCCAGACUCCUACGGGAGGCAGCAGUGGGGAAUAUUGCACAAUGGGCGAAAGCCUGAUGCAGCAACGCCGCGUGAGGGAUGACGGCCUUCGGGUUGUAAACCUCUUUUAGCAGGGAAGAAGCGAAAGUGACGGUACCUGCAGAAAAAGCGCCGGCUAACUACGUGCCAGCAGCCGCGGUAAUACGUAGGGCGCAAGCGUUAUCCGGAAUUAUUGGGCGUAAAGAGCUCGUAGGCGGUUUGUCGCGUCUGCUGUGAAAUCCCGAGGCUCAACUUCGGGUCUGCAGUGGGUACGGGCAGACUAGAGUGCGGUAGGGGAGAUUGGAAUUCCUGGUGUAGCGGUGGAAUGCGCAGAUAUCAGGAGGAACACCGAUGGCGAAGGCAGAUCUCUGGGCCGUAACUGACGCUGAGGAGCGAAAGGGUGGGGAGCAAACAGGCUUAGAUACCCUGGUAGUCCACCCCGUAAACGUUGGGAACUAGUUGUGGGGUCCAUUCCACGGAUUCCGUGACGCAGCUAACGCAUUAAGUUCCCCGCCUGGGGAGUACGGCCGCAAGGCUAAAACUCAAAGGAAUUGACGGGGACCCGCACAAGCGGCGGAGCAUGCGGAUUAAUUCGAUGCAACGCGAAGAACCUUACCAAGGCUUGACAUAUACGAGAACGCUGCAGAAAUGUAGAACUCUUUGGACACUCGUAAACAGGUGGUGCAUGGUUGUCGUCAGCUCGUGUCGUGAGAUGUUGGGUUAAGUCCCGCAACGAGCGCAACCCUCGUUCUAUGUUGCCAGCACGUAAUGGUGGGAACUCAUGGGAUACUGCCGGGGUCAACUCGGAGGAAGGUGGGGAUGACGUCAAAUCAUCAUGCCCCUUAUGUCUUGGGCUUCACGCAUGCUACAAUGGCCGGUACAAAGGGCUGCAAUACCGUGAGGUGGAGCGAAUCCCAAAAAGCCGGUCCCAGUUCGGAUUGAGGUCUGCAACUCGACCUCAUGAAGUCGGAGUCGCUAGUAAUCGCAGAUCAGCAACGCUGCGGUGAAUACGUUCCCGGGUCUUGUACACACCGCCCGUCAAGUCAUGAAAGUCGGUAACACCUGAAGCCGGUGGCCCAACCCUUGUGGAGG
Molecule: ribosomal RNA, 1373 nt
Filed under: Microbacterium laevaniformans
Lineage: Bacteria; Bacillati; Actinomycetota; Actinomycetes; Micrococcales; Microbacteriaceae
Description: bacterial SSU rRNA
Rfam family: Bacterial small subunit ribosomal RNA
Source: RNAcentral